This 238-nucleotide ribosomal RNA is filed under the name uncultured Spirochaeta sp. Its description in RNAcentral is "partial 16S ribosomal RNA". It matches the Rfam family "Bacterial small subunit ribosomal RNA", at positions 1145 to 1382 of the family's 1533-position model. Lineage: Bacteria; Pseudomonadati; Spirochaetota; Spirochaetia; Spirochaetales; Spirochaetaceae. The record is from RNAcentral.
GGAACUGCCUACGCAAGUAGUGAGGAAGGCGGGGAUGACGUCAAAUCAGCACGGCCCUUACGUCCUGGGCUACACACGUGCUACAAUGGCCGGUACAGAGUGAAGCGAAACCGCGAGGUGAAGCAAAACGCAGAAAGCCGGUCUCAGUACGGAUUGGAGUCUGAAACUCGACUUCAUGAAGUUGGAAUCGCUAGUAAUCGCGCAUCAGCAUGGCGCGGUGAAUACGUUCCCGGGCCUU